RNAcentral lists this transfer RNA (65 nucleotides) under Azygia robusta. RNAcentral's name for it is "tRNA-Ala". Lineage: Eukaryota; Metazoa; Platyhelminthes; Trematoda; Azygiida; Azygiidae. The record is from RNAcentral.
AAUGACGUAAUUUAUUGUAAGAGAAUGCCUACUCUGCAAGUAGGUUGUGGGGAACCCCGUUGUUG